Cajanus cajan (pigeon pea) is the source of this 687-nucleotide long non-coding RNA. RefSeq lists it as uncharacterized. Lineage: Eukaryota; Viridiplantae; Streptophyta; Magnoliopsida; Fabales; Fabaceae. The record is from RefSeq and is a predicted model, not a curated record.
UACAACUUGCGAAAUGCGAAAUCGCGAACGAAAGUUAUGAAACAAAGUCGCGUUAGAGUUUCGACAUUUCGCAAGUUGAGAAUGAAAUAACUAUCGGCUAUCGCAUUUAAUUCUCUACCUCUCUGGUGGCUGGUGCUGGACUAUUCGUGGUGGCUGGUGCAUUUGCUUCUCUGCAUAAACUCUAUUUCCUAAAUUUGGUGCUCUAGAAAAGUCCAUGGGUACUGAGAGAUAGUACGAAUCCUGAAAUAUAUUUUGAAGGAUUAGAACAACUACAUGACUGAGCUAAAUGAAGCUUUAGUUCCUGACACUGCAGAACAUCUAGUUGAGCAAAUAUUACCACCUCGCGAUUCUAAAGGGCGUAAGAAUCGAUAUGAUGUAUGGAAUCACUUUAUUGAGGAGCCAAAGCCCAACAUAGAUAAGAGAGCUAAGUGUAACCAUUGUAGUACAUUGAUUAUGUUUGAGAAUGGAACAAGUGCUAUGCAAAACCAUUUACGUAGAUGCAAAGGUAUAUCAAAUAAAAUGGUGAGCAAGAAAAAAAAAUCAAACUAAUCUAAAACCAUGGUUUCUUCCCCUUCAUUGGCUAGGCCCAAAAUUGACCAACAAGCAUUGAGAAUUGCAAUUGUCAAAAUGUUUGUGACAAUGGAUCUCCCCUUUCGAUGUAUCAAGCAUGAAGUUUUUCAUGACUUU